UCUAUUCACUAACAUGUAUAUUCAAAGCUGUCUAUUCGAGUCAUAGUCACUAAAUUAUUUUUACCCGGAGCUACAGAACUCCAAAUUAAGAUCCGUAAAUUUUAUCCGAAACUAGAUUCAAAUAUAUUCUUACCAUAAAAUUUUCAUAAUUUUUGGUUUAGCCAAAUAGUACAGUUUAUUCUUUAAAGUUUCCCCUGUUUCACUGUUUGACAGUUCUGACCUCUCUUCACUAAAAAUUAAUUAUCUCACUGUACAGAAUUCGGAUAUAGUUUCCGUUUGUUUCUCAUAAAAAUAGAUUCACUGAUAAUUCUAAACAUAUAAACUUUAUCCCAUAAUUAUUUUUGUACAAUUUUUUACAAUUUUCCAAAGUCAAAACAGGGGAUUCCAAACUCAUUCUGACUCUGUCUAAUUAAACUUCAAAUAUCUCAAAAUAUAUAACUCUUUUGCUUUUUCUAUUUCUUUUAUGUAAAAAUAGACUCAUUAAGCUUCAAUUUCAUAUAUUAUUCAGCCUCUAAUUAAAUUUCCAACAUUUUUGGUGAUUUUUCAAAGUCACACAACUGUUGCUGUCUAAACUGUUUUGUUGCUAAAUGUACUCUUUCAUAAUUUCACUUUUUCACUUUCAAUCACAAUUCAAUUCAAAAUUCACUUUUCCAUUUCUAAGUCGAUAUUCAAUUCAGUUCCACACCUAUAUUCAUUAUUCCAUUACACUUAGUCAAUUUCCCGUUGAACACUCGGAAUAUACAUAGAUACGUAGAGAAUUAGCACAUAAGUGCCACACUGAUAUGUAGCCGAAGCUACCACUGAUACGUAGCCGAAGCUACCACUGAUACGUAGCCGAAGCUACCACUGAUAUGUAGCCGAAGCUACCACUGAUACGUAGCCGAAGCUACCACUGAUACGUAGCCGAAGCUACCACUGAUACGUAGCCGAAGCUACCACUGAUCAAUAACACUGGAAAUGUCCACGGGCCUGCUCACACAAGCUGUCAGGUGUCUGCAACACAUGCUAGAUCACCCAGCACCCGGGACUCACUGUAACACUGUAACACUGAUCUCUAGUGACAUGUCACUUGUAUCCACUUCUAUUCCUAAGUUCAACCGGGAAUUUACACUUAACACUUUAUUUUAAACACUUUAUCACUUGAAUAAUUCAUGAACAAUUUUCCUUCCACAUUCAAUAUUAAUUCACAUAUCAAAUAUAAUUCACAAUUUAUAAAAAUAUAACUAUUAUUUACAUGUAACUUACUUUGAUGCAAUAAUAUAAAAAUUUAGCAAUUUAGUCUUUAAUCUUUCCUUUUCUCCGGUCAAGGUCGAUUCCACUUCUUUCUUGAUCUAUAAUAACACAUUUGACUUAUUUAGUACUCACAUUUAUCAAAAAAGUCCUUGACUCAACCUUUGGUAAAAUUAUAAUUUUGCCCCUAAACUUUUACAUAUUUACACUUUUGCCCCAAAGCUCGUAAAUUAAACUUCAUCCCUUAUUCUUAUGUAUUAUGACAUGUUGAACAUUUUUCCCUUCUAUAGAAACAUCAAAUUCCAACUCUAACACUUACUUAUGAACAUUUAGUAUUUUUAUCGAUUAUGUCGUUUUACUCGUUUUCACUCAAAAUCGCUUAGCAAAAGUUGCUUAACAUAAUUCUAAGCUUCAUAUUCUAUCAUGAAACAUCAAAAUUCACACUUUUCAUCUAUGGGUAAUUUUUCAGACAUAAAUUCUAGCUCGAAUAAUGGUAGAGAUAGUUAACAAGUUAUCGGAUGCGAAAAUACAAAGAACAAGAAUAACGGGGCUAGAACGGACUUACCAUGAAGCUUGGAAGAUGAACAAACCCUAGCCAUGGUGUUCCCUUGCUACAUACGGC
Molecule: long non-coding RNA, 1852 nt
Filed under: Gossypium raimondii (Peruvian cotton)
Lineage: Eukaryota; Viridiplantae; Streptophyta; Magnoliopsida; Malvales; Malvaceae
Description: long non-coding RNA (GRAI_LNC005229)
Source: RNAcentral